UAAAAGGUAAGCUAAUUAAGCUAAUGGGUUCAUACCCCAUUUAUAGAGAUUUAUCCUCUCCUUUUAA
Molecule: transfer RNA, 67 nt
Filed under: Paropaon sp. OR337
Lineage: Eukaryota; Metazoa; Arthropoda; Insecta; Orthoptera; Acrididae
Description: tRNA-Met
Source: RNAcentral